This 269-nucleotide transfer-messenger RNA is filed under the name Thermoleophilaceae bacterium. RNAcentral's name for it is "partial transfer-messenger RNA". It matches the Rfam family "transfer-messenger RNA", at positions 1 to 289 of the family's 374-position model. Rfam says of the family: Bacterial tmRNA, also known as 10Sa RNA or SsrA, is named for its dual tRNA and mRNA-like properties. Lineage: Bacteria; Bacillati; Actinomycetota; Thermoleophilia; Thermoleophilales; Thermoleophilaceae. The record is from RNAcentral.
GGGGGCGAACUAGAUUCGACGUGGAAUUUAUGUCCCGGUGUAGCGAGUCGAGGAUUCCGGGUUGGCCUCGUAAAAAAAAUCCCGGAAAACCAAUAAGUGCGGACUCUAACCAUGAGUUCCCCCUCGCCGCUUAACUAGCGUUUGAGGGAGUCGCACCGGGCAGCCCGCGACCCGGACCGCGGCUUCAAAUAGCGGGCUUACCUUCGAGGCAAAUUCCUCGGUCGCGAAGGGACACUGAACAGGAGGGAGUGGCGCCGGCAACGUGCCCC